ACGGCUAAAUUUGGAGAGUGUGCUGCUUUCCUGGUGAACAAUGGCUCUACUGAUGCCACUGUCCAAUUUCAGAACUCUCCUUAUCAGUUGUCCCGAAAGUCAAUCAGUAUCUUACCAGACUGUAAAAGAGUAUCUUUUAACACUAGAGAGGUAAACAAGUCCUCACCAGUAUUCAUGCUAAUUCAUAUGCAAGCUGAUACUAACUUAAAAUUAUUCAUAUGGCUUGUGCAACAUGUAAGCGCACAACAUGCUACAAGAUCAUGGACACCAACUCAAAAUUUUGAUUCACCUCAUAAUUGACAAGAGUACAAUGAAGUCAUUCUCACUUAUGACAAUACCUCUCUAAGAGAAAACAUAAUAGCAGACCAAAUGAGAACUAUAAAUGACCUUUCUGAUUAUCUGUGGUAUACUUUCAGCUUUCAGCAUGACUCUCCUAAUCCAGAAUCCACAUUAAAUGUUCAAACACGAGGACAUGUCUUGCAUUCAUUUGUAAAUGGAGUACUUGUAGGUAAGGUUUACAUCUCAGUAUCUGAAUGAUUCGUUUACCACCAAUCCUUCACCUUCUUACAUCUCAUUCAUUCAUUCAUGUAAUGUGCAUAUUCUCUUGGGUAUUUUAGAUAGUCGGUUCAUUACGAGUUUAAUAUAGUGAUUUGAAGUUUCUGGGUUUACUUGAUAUGAAUGUAUAUAUGGUUCAAGAUAGGCUUAGAUGAGGCCUCUUAGAAAGCCUCUUAGAUGAGGCCCUUGCAUUCACCAGCAUGAAUUUGAAGAACUUGAGCAGGUUGCAUGAUACUCUAGGAAAUGGUGUAUCAGAGAAAGUGAAUCUAUCCAUUUAUGAAAAUAUGGUAGCAAUAAGAAAAGCCUCUUAGAUGAGGCCCUUGCAUUCACCAGCAUGAAUUUGUAGAACUUGAGCAGGUUGCAUGAUACUCCAAGAAAUGGUGUAUCAGAGAAAGUGAAUCUGUCCGCUUAUGAAAAUAUGGUAGCAAUAAGAAAAGUUGUAGUUCAGGUUCGUUUGAUAUAUCAAUGUUGUCUUUAGACAUGCAUGCUAGUAUGUAGUAUUUGUAAAGUUUGUUUAACAGAUAAUAUAUGCAGUGUCCGCUGUUGUGCAAAGAAUUUAUUGUUGAUGCUUGUCAACAUUUUUUCAAUUACUAGACAUUAUUUUCUGUCACAGUUUCUCAUCUCUUAUGGGCUUAUGGCUGCAGUAUAUUCAAGAUGUGAAAGAUGAGAACAUUAACUUCCACUAUAAAAUGUAUGUUCAAUUGUAUGACUAAUUUGUAAUGUUUCUUACUAGGGUUUGUAUAAAUCAGCAAGAAAGUGUUCCUUACUAGGUCAUAGUGUUAAAACAAGUAUAUUUGAGGACUGAAGUGUUGAAGUUUAAUUAAACUAGUUCUCCUUUAUAGUUUAUACAUAGGCCUCUUUUAGGGAGUGAAUGUAAUAAUGAAUAUUGUUGAUGUAUUGUUGAAUAUUUUAAGAUUUCAAUGGAAAAUAUGAGAUUGGAUUAUU
Argentina anserina (silverweed cinquefoil) is the source of this 1500-nucleotide long non-coding RNA. RefSeq lists it as uncharacterized. The transcript is spliced from 2 exons. NCBI's taxonomy places the organism in Eukaryota, Viridiplantae, Streptophyta, Magnoliopsida, Rosales, Rosaceae. The record is from RefSeq and is a predicted model, not a curated record.